RNAcentral lists this long non-coding RNA (614 nucleotides) under Eutrema salsugineum. RNAcentral's name for it is "long non-coding RNA (ESAL_LNC001265)". The record is from RNAcentral. Lineage: Eukaryota; Viridiplantae; Streptophyta; Magnoliopsida; Brassicales; Brassicaceae.
ACUCACCGGAUUGCAGAGUUUGUCUAUAUUUUAACUCCGUUUUGUGGCUUCAUAAACAAUACCAUACCCUCCGAGUCAAAUGCUUCGCCUACACCAGUCUGUACAUACGAACAAACCCAGUUUAUUUCUUCUCUCUUCUUGUGAUCUCUCAUACAUACCCCAAGUUGAAAGCAUAGAAUUUUGGCUUCAUCAACAACAUAACGAAGAAAAAUGAAAUCCAAGUAAUUGACUUUUGAUUAAUAACCAGAUCUUUUCAGAAGCAUAAAUAACACAACAACAAGCGAACAAUUCACAAAUACGGUCGUACGGACAUUUGAACAGCUUGACCAUUUCUUUGGCAGGAAACCCUUGGUUAAUACCCCUAAAGAAUUUGUGCAUUUACCUAUCCUCACUGUGAUCACUACUAUCCUCUCCCAAAAGAAACCAAGACGGUGUAGUUAGGGGCAUACGCAAGCGAAAAGACCGCAAGUGCUUACCCGAAUGUGAGCAUUGUUUCGAUUCUGUGAUUAGAUCCGAGUCAAUUCCCAUGUUAAUACAUGCCUGCAAUAUACAGUACAGUAAUUAAUUGGGUUCUCGGGCUCGGAUCUGGUCUGGAACCUCGAAGCACUUGACAU